GACGAACGCUGGCGGCGUGCUUAACACAUGCAAGUCGAACGGAAAGGACCUGCUUUUGUGGGGUGCUCGAGUGGCGAACGGGUGAGUAACACGGGAGUAACUUGCCCUUGACUUUGGGAUAACUUCAGGAAACUGGGGCUAAUACCGGAUAGGAGCUCCUGCUGCAUGGUGGGGGUUGGAAAGUUUCGGAGGUUGGGGAUGGACUCGCGGCGGAUCAGCUUGUUGGUGGGGUAGUGGCUUACCAAGGCUUUGACGGGUAGCCGGCCUGAGAGGGUGACCGGCCACAUUGGGACUGAGAUACGGCCCGGACUCCUACGGGAGGCAGCAGUGGGGAAUAUUGCACAAUGGGCGGAAGCCUGAUGCAGCAACGCCGCGUGCGGGAUGACGGCCUUCGGGUUGUAAACCGCUUUCGCCUGUGACGAAGCGUGAGUGACGGUAAUGGGUAAAGAAGCACCGGCUAACUACAUG
RNAcentral lists this ribosomal RNA (468 nucleotides) under uncultured bacterium. Its description in RNAcentral is "partial 16S ribosomal RNA". It matches the Rfam family "Bacterial small subunit ribosomal RNA", at positions 28 to 507 of the family's 1533-position model. The record is from RNAcentral.